Molecule: ribosomal RNA, 492 nt
Filed under: uncultured bacterium
Lineage: Bacteria
Description: partial 16S ribosomal RNA
Rfam family: Bacterial small subunit ribosomal RNA
Source: RNAcentral
AGUGAACGCUGGCGGUAUGCCUAAUACAUGCAAGUCGAACGGCAGCACAGUGAGAUUUUGCUCUUGCCGUUGGCGGGUGACGGACGGGUGACGAGUAGAUCAGAAUCUUCUUUUUCUUGGGUGACAACGUAGGGAAACUGACACUAAUACCUCAUACGACCUACGGCUUAAAUCAGUAGUUAUUGAGGCUUUUCCCGUUUGUAUUAGCUGAUGUCGGAUUAGCUAGUUGGCAAGGUAAGGGCCUACCAAGGCAACGAUGCGUAGCUGGCCUGAGAGGAUGAUCGGCCACACUGGAACUGAGACACGGUCCAGACUCCUACGGGAGGCAGCAGUGGGGAAUAUUGCACAAUGGGCGAAAGCCUGACGCAGCAACACCGCGUGAGUGAUGAAGGUCUUCGGGUCGUAAAGCUCUUUUGUUGGGAAAGAACAGAUGUAGGAUAAACUAUCGACGUCUUGACGGUACCCAAAGAAAAAGCCCCGGCUAACUUCGUG